RNAcentral lists this small RNA (81 nucleotides) under Flavobacterium fryxellicola. RNAcentral describes it as "Flavo-1 RNA". It matches the Rfam family "Flavo-1 RNA". Lineage: Bacteria; Pseudomonadati; Bacteroidota; Flavobacteriia; Flavobacteriales; Flavobacteriaceae. The record is from RNAcentral.
CCCUAGCCCUGAUAGCAGUGGAAAUCCUUUUAUUUUUUUUCUUAAAAAAAUAAAAGAUUGCAACGAAUAGCAGGAAAUAGC